AUUGAACGCUAGCGGCAUGCCUUACACAUGCAAGUCGAACGGCAGCGGGGGAGCUUGCUCCCGCCGGCGAGUGGCGAACGGGUGAGUAAUACAUCGGAACGUACCCAGUAGCGGGGGAUAGCCCGGCGAAAGCCGGAUUAAUACCGCAUACACCCUACGGGGGAAAGGGGGGGAUCGCAAGACCUCUCACUAUUGGAGCGGCCGAUGGCUGAUUAGCUAGUUGGUGGGGUAAAGGCCUACCAAGGCGACGAUCAGUAGCUGGUCUGAGAGGACGACCAGCCAAAGUGGGACUGAGACACGGCCCAGACUCCUACGGGAGGCAGCAGUGGGGAAUGUUGGACAAUGGGCGAAAGCCUGAUCCAGCAAUGCCGCGUGUGCGAAGAAGGCCUUCGGGUUGUAAAGCACUUUUGUCAGGGAAGAAAUCGUUUGGGUUAAUACCCCGAGCAGUUGACGGUACCUGAAGAAUAAGCACCGGCUAACUACGUGCCAGCCGCCGCAGUAA
RNAcentral lists this ribosomal RNA (502 nucleotides) under uncultured bacterium. RNAcentral describes it as "partial 16S ribosomal RNA". It matches the Rfam family "Bacterial small subunit ribosomal RNA", at positions 29 to 523 of the family's 1533-position model. The record is from RNAcentral.